GUAAACCUUGGAAUAUACUUCUCUGUUUUGCAAAGUUUUGUGAUGGGAUACUACUUGAAGCACUUAGACUAGACGAGAGUAUGGAGAUUAAUUUACCAGCUUGAACAUGAUCUAACUCAAAGAAGAAAUGCUUCUGACCAUAAUAGUUAUCCUUAAUUACUGGUUUAAACUGAUUUUCUAGCAGCGGUUGACAGAGCAGACGUACACGUAUUUGAACCUGUGCAGGAUAAGGAGUUCGGAUAGAACCAUCUGACGACCAAGCAUAUUGAUCGAUAUACAUUUGACCAGGGCCUGCAGCUUCAUAGACACCGUAUAGCUUUCUAUCACUGUAGUUGAACAAAAAUAAUGGCAAGCCUGAAUCUACAUUCUGCACAUAUGAAAAAUGUAGACUUGGCAAACCAAAUAGUUGUUUUGCGAGACAUUCUUU
Molecule: unclassified non-coding RNA, 427 nt
Filed under: Hevea brasiliensis (rubber tree)
Lineage: Eukaryota; Viridiplantae; Streptophyta; Magnoliopsida; Malpighiales; Euphorbiaceae
Source: RNAcentral